This 96-nucleotide transfer RNA is filed under the name Hygrophoropsis aurantiaca. Its description in RNAcentral is "tRNA-Asn". It matches the Rfam family "tRNA". Rfam says of the family: Transfer RNA (tRNA) molecules are approximately 80 nucleotides in length. Lineage: Eukaryota; Fungi; Basidiomycota; Agaricomycetes; Boletales; Hygrophoropsidaceae. The record is from RNAcentral.
UGCCCCAUGGCUGAGUUGGUUACAGCGUCCGACUGUUAAGUUCACCCAGAGUGACUGAUCAUCGGAAGGUCGUGAGUUCGAGCCUCACUGGGGCAG